UACGUAGGGUGCAAGCGUUGUCCGGAAUUAUUUGGCGUAAAGAGCUCGUAGGCGGUUUGUCGCGUCGAAUGUGAAAACCCGGGGCUCAACCCCGGGCCUGCAUUCGAUACGGGCAGACUAGAGUUCGGUAGGGGAGUCUGGAAUUCCUGGUGUAGCGGUGAAAUGCGCAGAUAUCAGGAGGAACACCGGUGGCGAAGGCGGGUCUCUGGGCCGUAACUGACGCUGAGGAGCGAAAGCGUGGGGAGCGAACAGG
This 253-nucleotide ribosomal RNA is filed under the name uncultured bacterium. RNAcentral describes it as "partial 16S ribosomal RNA". It matches the Rfam family "Bacterial small subunit ribosomal RNA", at positions 524 to 776 of the family's 1533-position model. The record is from RNAcentral.